UCAUUGCAUGUCCGCCAUCUAUACAAUCCACGGGCACUGGGAUUUCAUCCUUCAUGUUUCGGCCAAAACUCCAUCUUUGGGGACAAAAAUCUUAACUUCAAACCAAUUGUCUAAAAACUAAUCUCUCACCACUUCGCUUCCCUUGUACGCCUAGUAGGACACGUAACAGUACUAAUUAGCUUUUGGUGCAGCCUAAGGUUAAGAAGCACCUUCUUCCUUCCCUCCUUGCCUCGACAGAACAUCAUGUGGGAACAAGUAUUCAUUUCUCCAAAACCGUAAGACUGGCCUCUCUCCUUAUUUUCUUCAACAGCAGAAAAGAACCCAACUAAGCAUCCUCACUUAUGCACACCAAAAAGGUCAAAACAGAACCGUUUGGGUACCCUCUUGGUUCAAGUCAGAAAGCACCGUCUACUUCCCUUUGCUGCACAAAACCGUGAGUAUUCCUAAGUGAAGAGCUCAAUGUUCAAGUCUCCCUUCCUCCCCUGUCAGUCGAGUACACCUAUCAAAGAGGUGAGAAAAUUCUGGUUGUAUCUGUUUUCCCUAGUUGACUUGACUCUGAUUGAAUUUUCUUUCUGCAUGCACUUGGCCAAGCCUUGGUCGAACUCUUGCCCCCUUGCAUGCAGUGGAACCGGUCUCUUGGAGUAUAAGAAAAAGUGUUUGGGCUGUCCUUGCUUGAUUGUGGUUCUUUGAACGCUUGAGAACAAGUGCACGUAACUCUUAUUGAGUGGGCUGAAUUUUGGUGCUGUUGAUUAUUGCUUGGACAUGAGGAAGAUAAAGAAAUAUUUGAUAAAGCAUGUCAUUGGAAGUACUUGGUUGAUGCUCUGCUGUUUGAGGAUGACUGCUGUUAGUUUUGUUUCUGUUGGAUUAAAUGCUGAAAGAUUAUAUGCAAUAAGAUGUUAUGGAGAUUAGUAAACUUGUUUUGGGAAUUGAAUUCUGAAAAUUUGAUGAAGAAUUGCUGAACUCUGUAAUUAUGUUUAUGCAUAAUAUCCUGAGAAUCAUGCUUGAUGUUAUUGCCGUUCCGAUAUCCAACUUAUGUUAUG
This is a long non-coding RNA of Gastrolobium bilobum, 1040 nucleotides long. RefSeq lists it as uncharacterized. The transcript has 3 exons. NCBI's taxonomy places the organism in Eukaryota, Viridiplantae, Streptophyta, Magnoliopsida, Fabales, Fabaceae. The record is from RefSeq and is a predicted model, not a curated record.